This 349-nucleotide unclassified non-coding RNA is filed under the name Hevea brasiliensis (rubber tree). The record is from RNAcentral. Lineage: Eukaryota; Viridiplantae; Streptophyta; Magnoliopsida; Malpighiales; Euphorbiaceae.
CUCAAAAUACUGAAACCAUGCAAAGUAUCCAAAAAGCCAGAGAGAACACACAAAAAUUAGAAAAACCAAAUUAUCGCUUCUUGGAGACACCAACAGUCUUCCCCCUGCGGCCAGUGGUCUUGGUGUGCUGGCCACGCACUCGAAGACCCCAAUAGUGACGAAGACCACGAUGGUUUCUGAUCUUCUUCAACCGCUCAAGAUCGUCUCUCAGCUUCAUGUCCAAUGCAUUGGAUACAACCUGAGAAUACUUUCCAUCCUUGUAAUCCUUCUGUCUGUUCAGGAACCAAUCUGGAAUCUUGAAUUGGCGGGGAUUUGCAACAAUCACCAUAAGUUUGUCAAGCUCUUCAGC